This is a long non-coding RNA of Mesocricetus auratus (golden hamster), 835 nucleotides long. RefSeq lists it as uncharacterized. The transcript is spliced from 2 exons. NCBI's taxonomy places the organism in Eukaryota, Metazoa, Chordata, Mammalia, Rodentia, Cricetidae. The record is from RefSeq and is a predicted model, not a curated record.
CAGGUCUUCAGUGUAUGAGAGUAAAUCAGGUGCCACAUUCCUGGUCCCUCUAGCCAAGAAGCACCCAUAUUGAGACUACUGCAACAGCUCUGGUACAAAUUAUGAUUCAUCUACUCUUCAAGCAAUUAACAUCUGGGCCGCCACCAAGGAAACUUUUUUUUGGUGCAAGAUGGCAUUACAUGAUGCUCAAAGAACUGUGGAGAUUCAGCUCCAGAAGGAGGAGGAGGCUUUCUUUACUCCUCCAUCGUAGGAGUGGAACUCUUGCACCCCCGGGAUGAGCAUGAUUCACAAGAUCAAUGUGACUGUCAUUAUUGUUCAUACUGUUGCAAUGAGAAUACACCUGCAAAAUGACCAUGACAGUUUAACCAGCAAUGAAUUUAAAAAAAUUAUUCAUAAGGCAUUAUGUCUUAUGUAUUCAAGUGAAAUCAUUUUAAUUUCUUUUCAAUUUGUCUCUUGAAUUUAGCCAAUGGGAUUUCUGUGUAAUGGAUGCUGUGACCCAGAUGUUUGAUCUGUAAUGGAUGCUGUCGUCCAUAUGUUUGAUCAGUAAUGUGUUUGAGACUCUUAAAAUUUUAUGUUAAGAUUUUACCCCCAAGAGGAUGUUAUUAGGACUAUUAGGAGGUGACUGGAUCAUGAAAGGGAUCCCUCAUAUUGGGAUCAGUGCCCUUUAUUUAAGAGAUCCCAGAGAACUGACUCUCUCCUAUGUCACAAAACACAGGAAGAGGUGUUGCCUAUGUCACAGACAGCAGGCCUUCAAAAGAUACCAAAUCUGCUGGAACUUUGAUGCCAGAUUCCUUAGUUCCCAGAACUAUGAGAAAUACAUUUUUGUUGUUAAUAA